CAGUCGCCGCGGUAACACGAAGGGGGCUAGCGUUGUUCGGAUUUACUGGGCGUAAAGGGCGCGUAGGCGGGCGAAUAAGUCAGGGGUGAAAUCCCAAGGCUCAACCUUGGAACUGCCUUUGAUACUGGAAAUCUUGAGUCCGGGAGAGGUGAGUGGAAUUUCCGGUGUAGCGGUGAAAUGCGUAGAUAUCGGAAGGAACACCUGUGGCGAAAGCGGCUCACCGGACCAUUACUGACGCUGAGGCGCGAAAGCUAGGGGAGCAAACAGGAUUAGAUACCCCGGUAGUCCCUGUCUCUUAUAC
Molecule: ribosomal RNA, 301 nt
Filed under: uncultured bacterium
Lineage: Bacteria
Description: partial 16S ribosomal RNA
Rfam family: Bacterial small subunit ribosomal RNA
Source: RNAcentral